AAUUAGUAAUAAAUUAUACCCUAAAAUUGAAACAAUGCAGAGAAGAUUAGCAUGGCCCUUGCACAAUGAUGACAUGCAAAUAAAAAUAUAAGAAUUAAAUUAUG
Erinaceus europaeus (western European hedgehog) is the source of this 104-nucleotide small nuclear RNA. Lineage: Eukaryota; Metazoa; Chordata; Mammalia; Eulipotyphla; Erinaceidae. The record is from Ensembl.